AUGCAGAGGCUCUCGCAGGUGGCGCUCCGCCGCCUCCUGUCGCCGCCGUCGGCCGCGGCAGCCGCUCGCCGGGCAGCGCCGGUGGCCGCGGAGGCAUGUUCCAGCGGAGCAGUCCCCAUCCUACGCCACGCCGGUGGCUCCGAGGUCGCGGCGGGCGGUUGGAAUGGCGGAUCUGGGAUCCGCUUGUGCCGCAGGCUCUGCACCUACAACGAGAGAGAUGACAGGGCACUUGAGGAGGAAGUUGAGAAGAAAUUUGGAUGGAUAUUAAAGAUAUUCUUCAUAGGAACUGCUGGCCUUGUUGGUUGGCAGUUCUUUCCCUACAUGGGGGAUAACCUACUACAGCAAUCCAUUACGCUUUUACAUGUCAAAGAUCCCUUGUUCAAGCGGAUGGGGGCUUCCCGAUUAGCUCGUUUUGCCGUUGAUGAUGAAAGGAGAAUGAAGGUGGUAGAGAUGGGGGGAGCUCAAGAAAUUCUCAAUGUGUUAGAAGGUGCUAAAGAUGACAAAACACGCAAAGAAGCUCUGAAAGCUCUUGUGGCACUUGCAAAGUCGGAUAAAGCUGCGGGGUUUUUGGACAAGGCAGGUGCCUACGCCAUCGUCGCCUCCACUCCGAAUUCCCCCGAAUAUGCCGAGAUUGAGGCCUGCAAGACUAGUCUUCUCAAGACGUUUGAUCAACUGAAGUCGUGA
RNAcentral lists this ribosomal RNA (684 nucleotides) under Triticum aestivum (bread wheat). Its description in RNAcentral is "partial small subunit ribosomal RNA". Lineage: Eukaryota; Viridiplantae; Streptophyta; Magnoliopsida; Poales; Poaceae. The record is from RNAcentral.